UCAAAAUGCCCACAGGAUCGGCUCUUUGGUUCCUGAACCAGGACGACGUCCACAGUUCAGUCAGCUCUACAUUGUUGAUACGGCUAAUGAGGUUCAGAAUAGACUUUCAACUGUCAAGCGCACAGGCAAAACAGGUCAACUGGAUCCAAAUGUUGUGAAACUGCUGAUAGAAACAAUGGACGCUCACAACUGCCUUACUAAGAUAUUCAGAAAAGCAAGAGACAUACAUGAAACUGACAGCUGCCAAGAUUUCAGUAUAAGACUAAUAGGCCAGUCAAAACGUAACCGUCAGUAUGAUAUGCCUCAAGCGGAUGAGAUAGCAGGCCUGAUCGUUGGUGACUUUACACAGGAUAUGGGCGAGAGAGAUGUAGUUGUCCAGCACAAGUCAUCAGGACUGCAGCAUAUAAGUGAUAUGCACCCACUCUUCAUGACUUUGCAAUAUCCAAUUCUGUUCCCGUACGGACAGAUAGGCUUCAACGAGAACAUACCCGUCACGAAUACUGAUGGAAACACAAGGAAAAGAGAAUACAUCUCAAAGAGAGAAUAUUUUGCAUACCAGCUGCAAACUCGCUUGGCAGAAGGCAUGGUUAUUGUGAGAUCCAAAAGAUUACUCCACCAGUAUAUCGUUGACGCUUACACAUCCAUAGAGCAAGAGAGGUUGCGGUGGUUCAGAUUGAACCAGAAGAAGAUCAGAGCAGACCUAUACAACAAUGUACAAGAUGCUGUCAUGAAAGGGGAUACGGACGCAAAAUCAAUUGGAAAGCGAGUCAUAUUGCCCGCAAGUUUUACAGGUAGCCCACGUUAUAUGGCUGAAAAGUAUCAUGAUGCGAUGGCAAUAUGUCGGUGGUAUGGGAAUCCAGACCUAUUCAUCACCAUUACAACCAAUCCUAAAUGGGAUGAGAUAUCUGACCACCUUAAAAUGUAUGGCUCUGACGACCCCAAUGAUCGCCCAGACUUAGAAGCUAGGGUGUUCAAGAUGAAGCUUGAUGAGUUGAUUUCAGAUUUCAACAAAGGCAUCUUCUUUCCCCGUCCCAAAGCAGGUAUUAUUCUGCAAAAACAUUUUUAAAUUAUUACACCCAAUCAAUUCAGUUACCAUAUAAUUUCACUAUACAAUCUAACCAUAUCUGAACAAACAUAUCUGACCUGUUAUUUUUUAAAAUUCAGUUGUCUACACAAUUGAGUUUCAGAAGAGAGG
This 1195-nucleotide long non-coding RNA is filed under the name Brassica rapa (field mustard). Its description in RNAcentral is "long non-coding RNA (BRAP_LNC001982)". Lineage: Eukaryota; Viridiplantae; Streptophyta; Magnoliopsida; Brassicales; Brassicaceae. The record is from RNAcentral.